CCCUCACAUGUCACCCCCUCCCCCACACACGUCACAUUUCCUCCCCCUUCCCACCCUCGUCGCAGACCCUUUUUCCGUCGACCUUUCCCACAUCCCCACCUCUGUCGAACCCCUCCCCAUUUCCCCCACCUCCGUCAGACCCUUCUCCUUCCCUCACCCCCGCAGACCCUCCAUUUUUCCCAACCAAAGUCGAUCCCUAAAUCUCCACCGACGCUGAGCCCAUCGGAUAUGCAGAGGCCGCAAUCCUCAGAGAAGAUAAUCGACGAUGGCUGCAUUCUCAUAUGAGAGAUGCAACGGUGAAUUCAAGUUUGAAAUCAAGGCGGCUCACGAUUGAGGGUAAGUGUGUAAUGCAGGGAUUGGUCGAAGCCGUUGAAAUUGGUCGAAAUUGAUAGAGGGCACAACUGAGGUAGGGAUCUAGGGCUCAACAACAAAGGUGGCGAUAGAACGCCUCUCGAGCGCCGCCGUGUUUGUUGUGAUCGGGAUGGCGAAGUAGUGGUUGGGGUCGAGCAACGGCGGAGGAAUGCUCGAGACAGGGAUGGAGCCUAAAUUAGGGAUUUUGAGGCGGUCGUUGUUGUGGGGAACUUUGAGGCGGUCGUUGUUGUGACGGCCAUGAUGGAGAAUAAUCUGGGGGAGGUGGUGAUGGGUGUGUAAAUGGGGAGGGAGGCGAGGUGGAGGACUCGGAUGAGGACAGGGAGAUCGACGAUGACGGCGGACAGAGGCGGCGAGAGGGAAGAAAGCAUGGGUUGGAGAGAUGGACUGAGUUGGCGAUGCGCUCCAUUGGAUGAAGAAAGGAUCGUCGUUGGUGAGUUGGGAUUUCUUGUGAGGGAGGAGAUGGAGUUGGAGGCAUUUGAUGUGUGGAAAUGUGGCGAAGAAGUUAGAGAGGCAGUCGGAUUCUGCUGCACUAACGGUAGGCUCGACGGUGAUGAUGGUGGCGAUAGCGCCGCGGGAGUGGAGGUCAGCGGCGAGGCGGAAGAAGGGGAUGAGGUGGCCCAUUCUGGCGCAGAGGUAGGAAGAUCAGAAACCCUAAUGGAGGGGUAGGAAGAGAGAAGGAAGUGGAUGACGUGGAUUAUGUUAAGUUUUUUUAAAUAAAACUAAUAAACCUGACAAUUCCAAGUGGAUUAAUAAGUACACGUAAUCAAAACNNNNNNNNNNNNNNNNNNNNNNNNNNNNNNNNNNNNNNNNNNNNNNNNNNNNNNNNNNNNNNNNNNNNNNNNNNNNNNNNNNNNNNNNNNNNNNNNNNNNNNNNNNNNNNNNNNNNNNNNNNNNNNNNNNNNNNNNNNNNNNNNNNNNNNNNNNNNNNNNNNNNNNNNNNNNNNNNNNNNNNNNNNNNNNNNNNNNNNNNNNNNNNNNNNNNNNNNNNNNNNNNNNNNNNNNNNNNNNNNNNNNNNNNNNNNNNNNNNNNNNNNNNNNNNNNNNNNNNNNNNNNNNNNNNNNNNNNNNNNNNNNNNNNNNNNNNNNNNNNNNNNNNNNNNNNNNNNNNNNNNNNNNNNNNNNNNNNNNNNNNNNNNNNNNNNNNNNNNNNNNNNNNNNNNNNNNNNNNNNNNNNNNNNNNNNNNNNNNNNNNNNNNNNNNNNNNNNNNNNNNNNNNNNNNNNNNNNNNNNNNNNNNNNNNNNNNNNNNNNNNNNNNNNNNNNNNNNNNNNNNNNNNNNNNNNNNNNNNNNNNNNNNNNNNNNNNNNNNNNNNNNNNNNNNNNNNNNNNNNNNNNNNNNNNNNNNNNNNNNNNNNNNNNNNNNNNNNNNNNNNNNNNNNNNNNNNNNNNNNNNNNNNNNNNNNNNNNNNNNNNNNNNNNNNNNNNNNNNNNNNNNNNNNNNNNNNNNNNNNNNNNNNNNNNNNNNNNNNNNNNNNNNNNNNNNNNNNNNUCUCCGACUCAGGUUAAUUGGAAAGAAAAUAGUGGGUAAAAUAAAGAAUACUAUAAGAGAGAAAAUUUAAUGGUAAAAAAUUAACAUUAAACUUUUUAUUAUAUUAUACUCCUUCCGUUCUCUCAAAUAUCUUCCUAUCUUUUUAUUUUGAUCUGUCCCCAUUUUUUUUUCUAAUAUACUUUUAAAAAUAACUGCACUCAUUCUUACUCUUACAUUUUUUUUUGUGGGACUCAAUUCUAAUCAUCAAAUACACAAUUAAUUUUUUAUUAAAACUCGUGUCAUCCUGCGCUAAAAGAUGUUUGAUGGACGGAUGGAAUAUAUAAAUGAUAUAAUUUGCUAAAAAGAUUUAUUAUUUAAUCAAAUUAUAAUUUAUUUUCUCAAUUAUAAAUAGAGAGUCAAAUUUAAAAUUUCACGCAAAGCCUACAAUCUCUUAACCCAUGAGGACGUCGACCAAACAUAAUUCAGAAACUGAAAUAAUGUAGUGGUCCAGUUUCUUAAGAUCGUGAGAUAUAUAUAAAAAAAAUGCUUUUUUUUUUUUUACUUUUACCCCGUACCGCCGUACGCACGAGGUGAAGUUUUUAUCAUUUUUCUUUUUAAAUAAGUAUUUACUAAAGUAAGGACAAUUGUAAAUAAAAGAGUUAAAUGCAUGUAUAUCACAAACUUUGAUCGAAAUUUAAAUAUAGCACAAACUUAAAUUUUUUUAAUUUAAAUAUGUAAUUUUACUCUAUGUUCAAUUUUAGCGCUGAUUUUUUUGUUUUCUUCAAAUUCGAUCCUACAUGUCAUUAACGUGGCCUGCCAACACAAGCCUUAGUAUUUUCCGGCCGACGAGCAAAACAUUGUGUUUUGUUACAAGCUUUCUCUCUCUCUCACACACACACACUAGAUUCUUAUCAUACCGCAACCUCCCCAGCUCAUUCACUUUCUUCUCCUCCCUCCAUCAAUUCUGCCGCCGCCACCACUACCCGACGGAAUCACAACUUUAAAAAAAGAAAUCCGAAGUUAGUGGAUUCUCCUGUAAAUCAGGACCAUAGACGUAUGAGAGUUUUCUGAACCAUGAAAAACUCAUUGCAUAUAUACUUGCUUUUAAUGGACUUAGUAAAAAUUAGUCACAUAAUAUAAUAUGAUCUAUUGAAGCUUUCUUCUUCGAUUGAAUCAUGCUUGCUUUAACGCCCUUGAAAGGGUGCUCAUGAUAGAUUCACCAUUGACACAUCCAAAUGUGGCUUAAUAUAAUAAAUAGUUGUACUCUUUCUAUUGAUUCUAUAGUAGGUACAUUAAAAGCAUAUAAAGAGCUACAUCUAUGCAUUUAAAAACAAACUAUAAUCUAGAAAAAUAAACUAAUUUUUAUUAUUAUGUUGAAGAUUUUUUUUUUUUUGGAGGCUGGGUUGAGUUAUGAGCUNAUUUUUUCUCUCUUCCUUAACUAUUUUAAAAUAUUUUUAUUAUAUUUGGGUACGAAAAAUAUUAAUUUAUUUAUUAUGACGCUUAAUACUCUAUAAUAAUAAUAAUAAUAACAAUAAUAAUGUGUAAUGUCAAUUUUUCAUUGUCAUACAUUUACAUCAGCUGUUCAGCCCCUAAGUAAUGAACAUCCUAUCUAAAACACAUGUUAAUUGAAUACAUAUCAUCGUUGAGUGACAAACAUGACAUAUUUCAUGUAAAAGUACUACCUUAUUAAUAAUGCAGUCCUUAAUUACUUCCUUGGUGAUUGAUUGAAUGGGCUUUUGCUCCAGAGUACCUGCCUCCCUGUUUUUGCUAUUUCUCUUGGCUGGUACAUAUUCUGUAAAUGGGAAAAUGCCUAUUUUCCCAUCAAAAAGCACAGUCCCAUCUUCUGCAAUCAAGGGCCUGCACACAGCGCACAUGAACAUCACUUUCGUUAUGAACUUCUUUGACUUGCAAGUCCUGUGUGGUUCGGCCUCUCCGGGUGUCAAAUAAAACCGGUGAUUUGCUUUGGUUAUGUAAAACCAUUUCUCAUCAAUAUGCACCGUGUUGUGCAUACUCUUGAAUUGAAGCACCUUGAGUAUUCUAUCAUACUCGAUUGCUUCAAGAGAAAACUUUAGACGUAGCAACUUGUUAGGGGCUAUUAAGUCGGGUUUUAUCGCACUAGUAUGAGCCCUGAUCAAACCCUUGCUAAUCCAUCGCCCAACUGUGCUCUUGCUGCAAUUUAUUCCACUUGCUAGCCUCCGAAUGGUUGAUCUUUUGCUUAGCUCCAAUGUUGAAAUUAAUUGAAGAUCUAUUUCAACUCUCUUGCGUCGUAGUUUGUUGAUUUUGCCACUGAUUGAAUGCAUAUGCUGACCUUGAUUCUGUUGUUUUUUUGCAGCAGUCCAUAGUCGCGUCACCGUCCGACGGCAAACGCCGAACUUGACAGCAGCAGCCUGAAUUCUGCCCCGUUUUGGCUUUCCACCUUGGCUGUCUUCAAGAACAAACUGCAUGAUCGAGUUUCUAUCGCCUGUUGAUAGAUCUUUUAGCCCCAUUUUUUCUGUUUUUGAAUGGUUUAUUGUGGCAAAAAGUAGGCUGCCACAAUUUCACAGUUUUUGAAGUGUAAUAGCCUUGUGUAGUGAAUGACAGAUUUUAUAGAACUUGGCAGUGAAUUUUGGUGGGAAUUUUGAAAGCUGUGAAUUAAAUGAAAAAUUUCAGAUUUUUGCUCUACUUUUCCCUCUUCUUUUUUCAUUUCAGAUUUUUGCUCUAAUUUUGAAGUGUAAUGCCUUGAAUUUUGCCAGCCUAUUAAAUUUGAAGGGAUCAAAUUCUGCCGCCUUGAAUUCUGCCGCCCUUUUAAUUUAAUGAAAAGUCAGUCAACCUUAUUUGAGUUAAACAUAAGAAUAAUUAAGAUUUACUUACUUUUUGUUAAAUAUGUGGGACCUCUUACUUUACAACACUAAUUCAACACUCCUUAAUCUCCGUGCCCAAAAGAAAUGGGACAAGUUUAUUGGGACGGAGGGAGUAUUUUUUAUUUCAUUAAAAACAUUAUUAAUAUGACAUUAUGUAAUUAUCAUAAAAUGAUAAAAUAUUAUACUAUAUUAUAAUUUUUUUAUCAAAUUAAAUCAAUACAUAUAAAAUAGUUGUAUAUAUUACUUGAGUCUAAAAUUAUGUGUAAAUUAGUUGCAUAAAAAAUUCUAAAAAUAUGUUCAAAGAUUAUUUUCUUAAUUUUUAUUCUAAUUUUCAAUAUUUAUUUCAUCAUCAAAUAAAUGAAAAUUAAAUUCAAGAUUUUAUUGAAUCAAAAGUUAUAAGAGAUAAAGAAAAUCUUAUGUUUUCAUUAAUUUGUUCAAAAUUAGUGUUGCUUUCUAAAUAUGACAACUUCUUUAUUUUUAUUAAUGUAUGUAUUUUUUUUUUUGGUAUUCAUACAAUUAUCUUUGAUAGGUAUUAAAUUAAGUUCAGAUAUCUUUACGUGUUUAUUUAUAUCUAAAAAAUAUGUGUUGAAAUAUAAUCUGUCACUGACCAAUAUGCUUAAUAGCAAGCACUUUCAUCCCUUAAAUUAUGAUUAAAACUUUGGUGAAAUUAUAGCUUUAAUUUAUAAAUGAAUUUUUCUUCCAUAGUUUGAAUUUUAUAGGUUGAUAUUUUUUUUAAUUCAUCAUUUUUCACACCAAAUCCAUAAUGUUACAUAACAAAUUCAUACACAACUUAUUUUAUGCGAUAAAUCUGGUUUAAUUUUUGUAAUUAUAGAAACUCCCUAUAUAAGUUAUACAAGAUCUAUAUAUAUAUAUAUAUAUAAGCAUGUGCUAUAUUUUUGUAUAAUUACAUUGGUUAUAUUAAAAUAUUAGAUCACUUAGCAAAAAAUAAUUUUGAUAUCGAAUUUUAAUUAUAUUAAUUUAUAUUAAUAUAAUAAAAUAUAUAAAUACAGAUUUUACGCGAGUCCAAAUUCACAUUCAACCGCGCAUAACGCGAGAGGUACACUAGUUUAUAAAUCAAAUACUAGAAAGUUACAAUAGUCGAUUAGUUUACAAUCUAUGGUUCGAUUGAAACAACAUUAGUACGUCUGAAAGCCAAAGUGGUACCCAGCAGUUAUAAUUGGCGUGUUGGUACAGCAGGAGAAGUCGCGUAACAUCCACGCGCGUGCUUUGUACGCUGACACGCUCACAUAUAAAUGCUGUACUGAUUUUAUUUCAAUCCACCUGUUUCCGCCAUCUCAUUUUGCAUCUCUCAAAUUCAAAUUUCGGGUGUCCUCUUUGAAAACCCUAGAGCUCUCCAUCCCUCUCCCGCUCUCUCUUUCUCUCUCUACAUUCCAGGCUACCUACAGAGGCGAUGAGGAAGGGAACCAAGCGUAAGGCAACGCACAAGGAGCCUAAGACCAAGCCUGCAGAGGAUCAGAAAAACGAGCCUAGCCAAUCGCCAGCUCAAGAGACCAACUCGGAGGAGCCCAGCCGCAAUGCUGAGCCAGAGCCGACCAAAGGAGCAGCUGGAAAGGACAGACGGAAGCGAGCUAAGGUUGAAAAGCCGGAAACCGCGACUGAGUAUUUCCCCGAGAAGCGCAAUUUGGUACGUUUUCAGUUUCGGCAUAGGAUUUUGAAUUGCUUCUUGCUGAUCUUUUCUUGCGUAUAUUGUGUUAACAUGAAAAUUUCGCUUGAAACUGUGCUUCUGGUAACGGAUCGUUCAGCUAGUUUUCUAUCAAGAAUCAAGAUAUAAUGUCUACAUUGUUGCUUCUUUUAAUGUGACUUGGUUUGUCUCAAUAAGCUGAGAUGCGUUCUCCUCUGUCAUUAUGUAGUUUGAAGAUAUUUAUACAAGUCUUUGCAUUGGUUAAUGUUUUUAUGUGCUACCAUGUGUUGUGCAGGAGGAUCUCUGGCUGCAGGUUUUUCCGGUGGGCACAGAGGUACGAAUAUGAUUCUCUCUAGUUUUAGCUAUCAUUUCUCUCUCUCAUAUUAUUUUGAUGAUAAUGAAUUUGAUUUCCUUUCUUUUACGUAAUUUUUUAAUUGACAGUGGGAUCAGUUGGACACGGUGUAUGAGUACAAGUGGAACUUCUCUAAUUUGGAAGUGAGUAUCCAAUAACUCUUACAGUCUAACUCUUUAACAUGUGAAGGUUUUUGUUGAUUUGGUCCUUAUGAGAUCUUUCUCUGGUGACAAAAUUUUAAUGCACUGAGAGCAAAUAUUAUGACUCGAGCUGAGCAAGUUACGGAAUUGUAAGUUUGGUAUUACUUGUGUUGAUGUGGCAGGAAGCUCUUGAAGAAGGGGGAGAGUUACAUAAUAAGAAGGUCUAUCUAUUCGGCUGUACAGAGCGUAAGUAGUGCAAGAACAUAAAUCUUCCAAUUUUUUGUUGGCCACAAAUAAAGCUUGUGCUUCCUGGAGAAUAUGGAGGUUUACAUGAUGAUACUAAUUAAUUCUCUCUAUGGUUUCUUAGUAUUUGGGGGUCUCAUAAUUCUCUUGCUAGGAUUUCUCCAUGCUAUCCUGACUAUUUAUCUCUGCAGCUCAAUUGGUUCCUUACAAAGAUCAAUCAAAAGUUACAAUGAUACCUGUUGUGGUUGCUGUAAGCCCCAAUACUUUUCUCUGCACCUUUGACAUUUUAAUUUUAUGUGUUUUUCAUUUUUUCUCAGUUGAUUGUACUUUUUUACUGAUGACACCCAUUGAAAUUGGAUGUUAGUGAAUCAAUUAUAUUCUUGAAAAUGAUCUACUUCCUAGACAAACCAUGUAAUGGUAGAUUAUUUCUGCUUUUGCACUCUUCUCUGCAAUAAUACAACCUUAAUAUAUUGUUUAAAAUUCACCAAUAAUUGUACAUCUAUUCUCUAUAUUAUAGUUUUCCUGAUAUGCCUUUUCUUUUAUUUCGGCUUCUAAUGAGAGGGACUUGUGGUGUUUCAUGUGAUAUUGGUCAUCGCAGAUAUCUUUGUUCACUCCACUAACUAUAUCUUAAACUUGUAGCUUUAUGUGUUUAUGGUUAUCAUAAAUUCUCUAAUUCUAAGUUUGUGAAAUUUCUAAUAUUUUGAUGCGAACGAUCUCAAUGCUACUAGCAAAUUGUUCUUCUUCAUUGGCUCAAUUUGAUGAUCUUUGUUCCGUCUCCCUUCAUACAUGGUGGAUAUUAGGCUUUGUUGAUACAUUCCUAGCCCUAUUGCAAAUUAUACACAAUUAUACCCAUUCGUGGUUCUAAUUACUAUUGAAAUUUUUUACUGAUUCAUGGAUAUGUUCAAAUGAAUAGGUGGUAUCACCUUUCCCUCCAUCUGACAAAAUUGGUAUCAAAUCAGUUCAGAGGGAGACUGAAGAAAUUGUGCCUAUGAAGCGGAUGAAAAUGGAUUGGGUCCCUUAUAUACCUCUUGAGAAAAGGUAUCAGAUUUUCCUUUUAAAUUUUCUCCUGCUGAUUUUGUCUGUCAUAUUGUUGACAACUUUUCCUUUUCAUUUACUCAUAGGGAAUCUCAAGUUGAAAGACUUAAAAACUCUCAAAUUUUCAUCUUGAGCUGUAAUCAAAGGAGGUAACCUUUGCCUUUUCUCCUGUUUUUUUUUGGAUUUCAUGAACUUUUGCCUAACUAUAAUUUUUUAUGGUGAGGGAUUUGUGUAUUUAUUUUUGUGGUUUGCUAUGUGUUUGUCUCAAUAGUUAAAUUUUUAUGUCUCAGCAGUUUAAGAUCAUCUACUGUUGCUGCCUGCAUCGUUUGCUGUAUAAUCAAUUUUUCUUUUCUUAUAUGGACAUCUAGGUUUAUUCAAUGAUUUGAAUAUCAGAUUUUUACUUAUCUACACCAUCUACCAUGUUUAGUAAUUCUAACUAGUGUAAUAAUUUUUUGCAAUAUAAUUUAUACUCAUUAAACUUCCAUGAAUGAACAUGGACACCGUAACAGGGGAAAAUCUUGACUCAACUUUAAUAUCUUCUCUUCAAAGCACCAAUUGUUUCUUCAAUAGUUAUUGAUAUGUUUUAAUUACCUUUUCACCACUUGUACUUGGAUUUAAGUGUCUAAAAAGACAACUUGCAAGUUUUACUUGUUUAUAUAUAAUUCUCCUUAUGUUUAACUGUUUAAUACCCCCAGAAAAAGAAUGAAGAAUUAGCUACUUGGUAUUGCUCUUGUUUUGACUUCCUUUCAGUGUAGUGGAAUUUUAUAUACAAAUGGGCAAGGUGAUUUAUUUUUCUGAAGUUGAUGAGGAUGCAAUGCAUGGUUGGGGAGGAUCGAGGCCUCAUUGAUCUUAUAACACUUAUGUCCAAGAGUUGCUUCUUCUUGCAGGGCUGGUCUAAGACAUCUGAAGAUAGAGCGUGUAAAGAAGUUCGAGUACUGCCUACCUUGUGAGUGAAAAUGCUAUAUUUCCUGAAGGAUUUCUAUUGAUUCAUUCAUUAUUGUCCUUCCAAUUCUUGUAAUUUCUGGGUCUAAAGGAAUUUUUAUAUGAUUGAUUUUCAGUAUAGUGCUAGUUCAUUCUUGUGAAAUGUAUGCAUUUUUCAAGCCUUUUUGUGUACCACUUUAUCUGAAAUCCCUGUCAGAGCCCAUCAGAGCUUAGAGGUAUUAUCAUGAUCGCAGUAAUGGGAAUCUGUGGAUUCUGGUUAUCUAUGUGAAUUUUAAUUUGAUAGAUAAUACUUUAAUAGUUAAAUGAUUGGUUUUGAUGAUACAAAUGAGUUAGUGCUAUAUGAUAUUGUUUAGCAUUACUGGUCUGAUAGGAGAUAUAUUCACCAAAUAUUACCUGACGGUUAUGAAAUUCAGGAGGGGCUAAUGGUUAUGACAUAUUACCUGACUGUCUUAACAGCACUAGGGUUGUAGCCUAACUUGCCCGAGAAGGUUACCGUUACUGUUGAACUCCUGGUUUCUGGCAGUUCACUUAAAAAUUUGCUUGUAGAUUUUCAAGUUUUAUAGAUAGUAUUAUGCUAUUAAUUUAUUUGAUGAUUUUGAACUAAAAGGAGUGAAAAAAAGUAAGAAUUCGGGAAAAAUAAUGUGUAUCAUUCAAAUUUGAUAUAUAUAGUUCAAAAUUGCUUACAAUCUUUCAAAAAGUAACUUAUAAUUACACAUUUAUGACUUGGAAAACCAUUAAAAAAAUUAAAAUAUAAGAAAAAUACAAAACCAAAACACCUGUGGUUUAACUUGCUGCUGGUUAGCCGAUUAUAAAAGUCCAAUUGUAUCUGAACUGAAAAUUUACAGUUUCAGUUACGACCAACUGCUAAGCGCUAGUUACGGUUGGUCAAAGGUUUGGUUGACAGUUUUACCCUGUUUCCCAUAUGUUGAGCACGUCUAGCUAAGAAGAUGAAAAUUGUAAUAAUGAUUUGUCCUUUUUGGACUCCAUUUGGCAAUCAAUAUUUUACGGUUUCCUGCUAUUAUGAAAUGCUGCUAAAGUUAUUGUGUGAUGAAUAUUGUGUAUGUCGUGAGAGAAAAGAUCUCUGAUAUUGUACCUUAGCUACUAGCCCUGUUCUUCUGUAAAUCUGGUAUUUGAUUAUAUUUAUAUGCGUUGCUCUACUUGGCUUAUAUUCUCCUUUCUUGCUUAAUGGAGUAUGUUCCAUGAACCUUUUUUAUUAUUAUAUUGUUGGGUCUUUAAGAAUAGUUUAUUCAUUGCAUGUGCUGAUCAAUUAUCUUCCACCUAUGUUCCAUCCACAUUAGGCGCAGUUGAGCCAGUUUCAUACAUUACUUGAGCAUAACUUGUGAACACCGGGUUUAUUAACUUCUUAAUGUUUUAUGAAUAUCUUUGAAUAUUUUCCUGAUUGCCCAGAUAGGGUUCUGACAUAUCCCCUCAUCUUUUCACAGACUUUUAUGAUCCCCUUCAGGAAGAUGAACUAGAGCAGAGCACAGUGGUUGACCUUUUAUUUCCUAUUGAUCCCAAGCCGGUAAGGCUGUACCUGUUAUUUUAUCCUACUUAUACAAAAAGCCGCUCUUGAGAUUGGGCCAAGGGUUUUACCUGUUUGUACUGAAUUUAGAAAACAUUUGGGUCACGUGAAUGCAAACCUUACUUCUACUGCACCUCCAGGUUUUCUGCGAGUUUGAUUGGGAACUUGAUGAGCUAGAGGUACUCUUGCAAAUUAUGUUAAUGUGUUAAUAUUUAAUGUUACAUAAGUGAUACUAUGAUUUUUUAACUUGCAUGCAUAGCUUUGUCUAGCAUAUCUAUCUAUGAAAUACUACUAAUGAAGUUAUGUAAUAAAUUAUCAGGAAUUCACUGAUAAGCUGAUUGAGGAAGAGGAGUUACCUGCUGAUCAAAAAGAGCCCUUCAAGGUGGGUUAUCGCUGAUGAUUGUGCAUGUUGCUUACAUCACCAAUCCUUUAUUGAUUUUUUUCCUAUCUUCUAGUGUCUACUUAACCCAUUUUUUCUACCUCAGGACUAUGUGAAGGAGAAAGUCCGUGAAGCAAAAAAAGCUAAUCGUGAGGUACUUUCUAAACAAGUCCAGUGUAAUAAGUUUCUUAUCAUUUUUUUGUGUGAUUCAUGCCUGUUGACUGCACUUUUUCUCUGUAGGCAAGGGAAGCCCGUAGAAAGGCACGGGAGGAAAUGAGCCAACAAUCAAGGGCUGCAUUUGAGAAUAUGAAAUUCUACAAAUUUUAUCCAGUACCUACACCCGACACUCCAGAUGUAUCCAGUGUAAAGGUGAGUAUAUCCUCAUUCUUAAUAUAUUUGCAGAAGCCUUAUGGGAAGUUUUAAUUUGGCCUUUAUGCCCUUGUUUUUCCAAUAUUAUUUCCUUGGCUAAGAGAAAAGUCAAAAGAUAAUGUUCUGCACAAUUUCCUGUUUAUAUUGCCUCCUGAACCUCAACAUUUUCACCUUUCUUCUAUAUUUGAAAGAUGAACUGUAAAGUGUUAAUCAUGCUGCUGAACUCUUGGAGGAGCAUUUCUGAUACUUAGCAUAAUUAUUAUUGCAUACUUUCCCUAUAUGUACACUGUAGACCUUUUUAUGGUGAUGGUUAAACUAAAUGACCAUUGUGUGAAGUAUUUGUUAGUACAAAACUUUGGACAAAAGCACAUCGCAUGGGAAAUUUUAGUAACUAUAUGGAUAAGGGUAGUAUUUAUAGGAAAAUUGAGUUCCGGUCUAACUUAAUUUUUCGUGUGAGUGUUUUUUAAAUAUUUGUUCAACCUCAAAUGUAAGUUGUAUCAUAACUAAUUCCUAUUGUAUAGUUAUCCCUGCUUAGGAAUGCUUCCUCUGGCAGGAUUGUAAUGCUAUUAUUGCCAAUCUUUUUCUUUAAUUUUUAUAAGCUCAAUUAUGCAAAUACAGAACCCAAUAUACUUUAAGGGGGCAUUUACUUUUCACAAUUGAUACGAUGCACAGUUGAGUUUUUAUAUUUUCAUUACUAGGAUAUCUCCAAUCCCAUCCUUUCAAUGAGAUAUGGAUCAAGCAAAAAUUAGUUAAAAUGAUAGAAAUUAUUAAGUGCCUUAGGAUAUCCCAAAGUUUCAAUCCAUCUUAGUAAACAAUAGAUUAGCCUUACUAUUUAUAUGUAUCAAGACUAAUCCUCCCCCCUACAAUGACCAAUUGUUAACAUGUUUUAGUUACAUCAUUAUGUUUCUUCCAGUGUAUGAGCUAGGAACUGACCAUUUGCUUGCUUUUUUCUUCCUCUGCAGUCUCCGUUCAUUAAUAGAUACUACGGGAAGGCUCACAAGGUUAUAUGACAUGCAGCUGAUUAUUUUUCUACGGAAGGGAGCAACACUUCGUUGAUGCUCGUUGUCGGUGUGCUCGGUGGAAGUAAGCUCAGAAAUAUUUAGAAUUUUCCAAUGCCUUGACUAUUCAUUGAGGGCGGGGUUCAGAAUUUUGUCCUUAAAAAAGUGUAACUUGUAUAAGUGAAAAAGACUAGGGAAAAUACGGAUCAAACAGCCAACUUGAUCUUCGUGGCUCACCUAUUUCUGUAUCGAUACGAGACGAGACAUCAAUUUACCGGCAAGUUAAUUGAUUAUGAAAGUUGUAAAACCCCUUGCGUAAUUUUUGACACAGUUGGCAGCCAAUGUAAUUUUUGGUAUUCCUGUGUAGUAAAUUGAGUUGAGUGAUGGGUUGUUGUAGUGUAACGAGAAAGAGGUGUAGUUGAAAUUGACAUUCCUUGAAGAGUUAUAGUUUCUGUUGCUUCCUUCCAUGUUUGGUUUUGGUCUCUAUAGAAAAAUUCAAUGCGAGAUGAAUCAACGUAGCGGCGGGUGAUCGAGGGAUGCAACAGAGGAUGAAAUGAAUAGCCAAACCUGAUUGCUAUUUUCAGCUUAAAUACACUUUUUCCUUAUUUUGAAAAGCCUUCUUGGAAGGCAAAUUUGAUAAAAGACCUCUCUAAUUUUGGAAGUCCUCUUGAUGAGAUAACUUGUCUCUAUGGUGUUUUGAUUAUAGUGUAAAACCCCCAGUUUGGAACUUGAAAUUCAUGUUCAAAAUUUCCCCUUAAUUUAUAUCGCGUUAAGAUAUUUAUAUAUGCAAGAGAUGAAUAUAAAUUAUCAAUUACAUAACAUUCUCUUCCCUCUUAAAUAAAAACACACAAUUCAUAACUGAAUAUUUUGUCACAAACUAUUUAUUAAUUACUUAAUAAAUUAACUUGGUGGAUCUCUUUCUUCAAUUUAUGCACAUCUUUCAAUAUUUUUUCAAAACUCAUGCUCUCUCAUUCACACUUACACUACAAAAAAUAAAUGGUGUUGUAAACACCGAUUUUUAAUCGAUGGUGUCGUAACUUGUAGUGCUAUAAAGGUAUCAAAAAAGAUAUUAAUAGAUAUUGGUUAAAAAUCGAUUUCAUAGAUAUGUACGACACCAAUUUUUAACCGGUGUCUAUUAUCGUCUUUUUUAAUCGGUGUCGUAGGUAUCUACAACACCGCUUGAAAAAUGCGCUAAUAGACACUGAUUAAAAACUGGUGUCGUAUAUAUUACUAUAAAACCAAUUUUAACUAGUAUCGUAGGCAUAUAUUGUUUUAAAUGCGGUGUUGUAGGUACCUACGAAACUGAUUUUUAACCAAUCUUAUAGGUACAAUCGACAUAAGUUUUUAUUGAUUACAAUAAUUUUUUAAUAAAAUAAAAUUUAAUUAAUAACAUAAAUAAUACACAACGUAUGUCGAAAAUAUGCAUUAUCAUAAUCAACAUUGAUUACAAUAAUCUAGAAUGUCAUUAAAUAAGUUUCAAACAUGUACCUAACAACUUCAAAAUAUAAAAAAGUUUCUAAAUGCAUAUAUAUAUAUACGAGUAUUCAUGCGACGAAACUCUUUCCUCACAACAUAAUUAUCGUUCCAAAGCAAUUUGAUCCUCAACGGCUCAACCAGUCUUGGGUUUUUCAGCUCAACAUGUCGAAUCUCCCAUAGUGGAUAGCCACGCUGAUGACCAAAAGCUUCACGAGGAACUCGGUUUCUUCCUAUAACUUUAAAGCAAAGAGGAAAUUAGGAAUAUAUUUAUAAUACUGAAACAGUAAGGAAAAAUCACUAACAAUUGUAUGAACUUCUUCAUUAUGAUAAAAUCUACCAUGGAAAUGGUCCUUAAGUAUGAGUGUGUUGCCUCUGCAGACAAGAAGCUAAUGACGUUGUAUUUUCUUGAAAAGCAUACCAAGCUAAAACAGAAAUAGACCAACAGAACUCUAUAAAAACUGGAUCAAGUCAAAGCUUGCAAAUCCUCAACUAGUUUACCCACAUGUCAAAUUUGAUGCUAUGGACUCCAGUACAAAGCAUAAAACAUGACAAACAAAUUGUAAUAAACUUAGCCAAUAAUGGGGAAUAGGAAAUGAAGGGAUAAGAGGAAGAUGUUUAGAGAGAGGAAGGAAGUAGAGGAUGAGUUUUUCAUUCUGAAUAUAUAGCUCUAAUGUGAUUUCUAUCACAAGAAAGAAUGCAACAAGAAGGUGGAAGAACAAAUAUGGCAAAAUGCCGUUGACAGUUCCAAACAUGGAUCAAUUCGAGCAUGUGAGAUGUAAUCGUGGACGGAGGGAGUAUAAAUUUUUGAAGCUUGUACGUGUGUCUAUGCAUGAACCGUAGUUGAUUAUUGUGUGGUAACUUAAUUGUUGCAUACAUGAGCAUAUUAGAAAGUCUAAGUGGCAUGCCCAAUGGCCUAAGCAUGUUUUUAAUGAAUCUAAGAUUUGUAAGUAAUUUCAACUUUCUAAAAAAAAUCGAGAAUAGGUUGACCGUAAGUCGAAGUUGGUUAAGCAUGAUUUUUGACAAGGGAACUUGUGUGUAUUGCAAAAAAUGUUUUUUCUCCAUUUAAUUAGAAAUGUAAAAGUAACAUAAUGAAAUUAGACUAAAUAAAAUUAGCACAAGGGAUGAAACAGUACGUACAAGAGGAACACAGGAAGCCAAGAAAAUUCCACAACGCAGGUGGAAAUCUUGUAUACAAUUAAAUACCAAAUCUACACUCCCUGAGUUACUUAAAUAAUCACAAACUAUAUGAUACAAUGAUGGUAGUGAGAUGAAGAUAGUAGGGCAAAUCUACAACAAAAGGCUUUAUGCUACUCUUGGAGCAAAGUAUGAAUCAUCUUCAAAAUGUCAAGAGAUCUGUCCCCUGCGACGAAAAAUGCUUAAACCACUCCAAAGGGCUCGCAAAGGGCAUGAAACCACACAACAACGGGAGAAAUAGCAGCGUAGCAUAGAACAGCGACUUUCUCAUCCAGUACGGAAACACAUAAUUGUGGUCGACCCUUUCAGCAACUAGGAUAGGUCCAUUGAGAACAGUAUACAAAGUAGAAUGGAAGAUGUUGGAGAAGAAAUGCAGCAAGCAUAGGGCUUCCCAAUAGACUAACCAAUGAUUUCCGCUGCCCCCUAACGUGUCAAUGCAGAACUUCCCAGCAUAACCACAUCCCACCCCUAAGAGCAACAGUAUGACAGUCACAGGCAUUGUCUGAUGAGAAGACGAUGAUCUCUGAAUGAGUAAGAAGGCAAUUGCCGCAAUCAUUAUCACACCAAACAACAUGCGACUGAAUACUUGAAUUUGACAUCUCAAUAGCUGCAGGCCUGAGUUGAAACUUGACACUGCAUUUGGCAUCCACCAAGAUUUAGAUUCCUGAAGAAGAAAAAAAAAAGAUGUUGAGUAAAAAUACACUGCUGAAACAGAGGCCAUUCAAAAACAGAAAUGGAUCAAGUAAUGUCACUUGAAGAUAGCGAUCAUGAUUAACAGAGAUCAACACGUUUCACACCUCAAGCAAGUAUAGUAAAAACUGAGUAACUUUCAAUAUCGACUACAAGUACUAGUAAUGUUAUGCCCAGUAUCACAUGCAAAGAUGUUAUAUAAUCUUUGGGCAGAACUCAUCCCCAAAUGCGAGAAGGUGGUCCAGUCGACAUAAGCCCACAUCGAAGCCCAAUACUAUAGCAAUUUUAUAAAUCAACCAGGAUAAUAAAAUAUGUAAGAACAAAGGAACUGCACAAUGGUGGAGGCAAGAAAAAUAGAGGAAACAAAUAGGACAAGUUAACAGGGUCAAAAAGCUGAUGAACCAACACAAGUGUAAUAACCGUGACCCUGCCACCAUAGAAAGAAAAAAGGAAAAAAAAGAAACCAUAUGACAUCGUGUAGAGAAAUUUAAUGCAUAUCUACUAGCACCUUUGACAUACAGUCCAUUACUUAAAAAUGACUCUUUGAAGUUGAAUCUAUAAGAUGCAUGUAUAAAUACAUUAAGGUAGUUGGUAAAAUCUUAUGCCCAUGCACUAGUAGUGGAUUCCAAAUACCAUAAAUUUGCACCAGUGCAGAAUGGAAUUUCGGGAAGUCACUUAUAAUUAAAGUAUAAAGUCAAUUCAAAAUCACCAUGAAACACAAUUUCGACAAAUGUUCUUCAAUCACACAAAGCAUAUCUGACAUAGGUUACCAAACAAGCUCUUAAUUUCCAUCUACAAGACCUGUAUAAGACAUAGACUACUUGUUUCUGUUAGUGCUAGAACUCAUUCGUGAAAUCUAAUUGUAAUAAAGGAGAAACAUAAGAUGAAAAGGGAUAAACAUAACCCAAUAAAAACAAGGUGGCAAGCUUUGAUGACAACAUAGAUGUAAAACCAAAUAUUUAAAUUCCAACAUUUCUUGAUGUUUUUCGUUUUUGUUUGGAGGGGGGGCUAUCACAAUGAGAUAUAAGCUUUGAGUAAGAAUAGUUUGUACCAUGUAGGGAGAGCAAGCUUCAGUAGCUUCAACAAUUCUUUGGUGUGAGUAGACGUAUGUUCCAUAUCCAAGUGCAAACAACAUGAUGAUUAGACCACCUACUAGAAAAUCUAAGCACUUCUUGAGUAGCUCCACUUGUCUCGUGUCUUGUAUCUCAGUUUUGAACUUUUCAGCUUUGAAAGAAGCCUUUGAGAUACCCAUUGAUAAUUUCCAUCUCUCGAGAAUAUUGGCAUUAGAAUUCAGCUCUAAUUGUCUUUCUUUAAGCUGCAACUUUUUCAUGGUAAGACCAAUUUCAAAUGUCUUUAGCUCAUUAGAGCGAGUCUGCUCCAUGACUGAUUUUUCGAUCGUGCUUAGCAUAGAAAAUUGGUUUGGAGAAGCACAAGCUAACUGCUGCUCAGUUCGUUUAUCAUGCAGAAUAAGCUGUUGACUUGUCAUAUUCAUCUUCUCCUCCAUUUCUGAGAGAGUAUGGCAUUGCCCAUCAGCGCUAGUUCUGUGGGGAUAUGCCACCGGGCCAUCUCCAUUACUGGAAAGGCAUGCCAUAUCUCCUAUUCUAAAAUGAGACGAGAGGUUGCUAGAUUCAGAAGUACUAUCCUGAUAUCCAGAUCCUUGCUGUCGUUUGGUGAUAUUUGCAUGCACACAUGAUUCUUUCUCCGUAGCCUCAGGAGGACAAGCAGAAUCCUUAUAUGUGUCACCACACGUCAUAUUGCUUGUCACUGAGCAAGAACACCCUACAAAUCUUGCUCCUUGGAGUUUUUCACCAUCAUUUUGAGAUGAACAACUGAUUAACUGCAAAGUCGUCAAUGUACUCCGAAAUGAUGUCUCAAAGUUCGUCACCAAAUUAUUAAAUUUAUCCCCAAAAACCUGCUCCAGACAAACAACAGAUUGAAAAAGAAUAAUUACUUACAUAGGUUACAAGGGUUUGGAAAACAAAGUACAAGAUAAUGAAUGCAAGGUUAAGACAAGACUUACGUUUCCUAUAGAUUCCCUCACGGCCAGACCACAAAUCUGCAAGCAACACACAGUGAGCAACUUUAUCAGAUUUGCAUACUCAGAACAGAUAAAAGACUAAGAUACGUAAAGACAACAAAAACUGUUAGAUACUUUAACUCAUCAAAUAAUAUGAAUUGUUUCACCAUAUACCUCAGUAGGCAUUCAGUCACUAAAUUAUACUCCCUCCGUCCGCCAAGAUUAUGACAAUUUGCUUGGGCACGAGAUUUAAUAAAAUUGGUGAUGAUUUUGAUGUAGUGGAGAAAGGGUCCCACCACUUUAUGAGAUGAGUGGUUGAGAUUGAAUUUUGAGUGGUUUUUUUGUAAAUAAAGAGUGUUAGUAAGGAUAAAAUAUUAAAGAUGAUGGUGGGACCAUUGCCAUAAAAGGAAAGUGACAUAAUUUUGACGGACGCCCAAUAUAGUAAUUGUGACAUAAUCUUGGCGGACGGAGGGAGUAAGAGAAUGCAAGUUUCAGAUAACUUUAGUCCUUCACAAAUGAGAAAUAUCUUUUAUUAUAAGAACAGACUCAUAAAUUAAGCAUCUAACAUAUCAUCAUUAAUAAGGGUAAAGAUUGUACCGCAGACAGAUAAUCCACCGAAAUCUUUUUGCCAGCUGCAUUUUUCUUCUCCAAAACCUAAAAAUAAUAUGCAACAAAUACCACAGUAAAGAUUGGGUUAGUUUGUUUUAAUUGAUUAAUAUAUAUAAACAUACAUAAAAAGAUCAUUUGAUACAUCCACAAUCAUGCAUAAUUCGAUAUAUAAUAUAAACAAAUACUCUUCUUAAAUAUGUGAUUUUCAAAGGUACAUGACCAAUUGAACAAGUAAAGAAAAAAUGUUAUCAUUUGAUUUAUACUUGUGAUGGAAAAGACCUCCAUAACAUAAAUCCAGACCACAAUAUUGCUUAAAACAAAGUGGACACUACCAUCCCACCAUCUCCACAUAAGCAAAAAAAAAAUAAUAAUAAUAAAACAAGAAAAACGGGAUAAGGGAAUCGAAUUACUAUAAAGAAAAGACAACAUGAUAGCGAACAACAGCUACAACAUCGGUUACCAAUGUUAAGCUAUUAAUGGUAUCAUAGAUCCAUAGCUUUUUAAGAAUAAAUUUAUAUGGAGAAGGAUACUUGUCACAUAUUUAUGAUGCCUAAUAUAUGGUAUGAGAAAAAUAAAAACACCCCAAGUAACUGAAAAAUUACAGAAAUGAACUGUCAACAAGUAAACUCAUAACUUCUCCAUACAAAGAUUCGACUUCUUACUUAAAGAAGAAAACUUUAUCCACGGUAUGACUCAUCGGCAACUACAACGUGGACAAACAAAAGUCCUCAUCGAACUUGGGCCCGCUCUGCUACCAUAUUAGAAUUGAGCCCAUCAUCCCCUAAAAAGACCUUAUAAAGGGGAGAAGGUACUCCAAACUUAUAUAUUGGAGACGAGAUCAUUACCAAGUCGAUGUGGGACAGAAAAGGAUUGCUUCAACACCCCAUAACCUAACCACUGCACAUGUAAAAUUCAUUUAACUAUUCAGCUGCGCUCUCAAACGACCAGAACUCUUCCACAAAAUCAUCAAUGCACACAAAAGAAAUCACCCCCAUGUCAAUAAAUAGAAAAUUUCACUCGUAAAAGUCAAAAGGUACUCUUUAACAGAAAAUUUAUAUGCGUUUGGUUGAGUGAUAAGGUAUGAUUGCUAAAAUAAUCCAACUUAAUCAAAUAUUUAGUUUGUAUGAUUCUACCCAUGAUAAAUAACUCGGGCCACACUCUAAUCACUCUAAUAAUCCAAUUGGAUGACUCCAAUCAUAUUAAUCUUAUCCACCAAACCAAAUGUUGCCGUAAUGUACAAGAUAAAGAAAUGCAUAAGUAGAUACUUUAACUAACUGAAGUCACCUCUCAUCCAAGUAACAUAUAAAUUCCCAUAAAGAGAAAUCAUUUCAAUAAGCAUUUUAAAAUCAAUACACAAAAAAAAAAAAAAAACUCAACUUUAAACCAACAAGACAAAUAAAGAACAAAACUUUGUUAGUCAUUAAAAAAGAAAAAAUGGAAAUAAAUACCUGAGCGACUACAGCGGCAAUCGACAUUCCGAGAGGAAGGCCGAGGGCGUCAACAUCACUCAGCCCGACAUUUCUCGGGCCCGCUGUCAGCGGCCCGACGCGAAUUCUUUUAGGAUUUCUAGAAAUCUUGAUGCCCUUUUUCGAAUACGAGGCCGCAGAGCUACAAUUACUCGAAGACUCUAAUGAUGCAUUGUCCGAAACUACUGUCUGUUUCUUCUUCUUAUUAAUCUUUCUUCUCGAUGUUGGUUGCGGGGCGUCGAUUGUGUGGCUGGUUGACAUCAUGACCGCCGGAUCUUCGGCGGCACAGCUGUCCGGUGAUGUGGCGUGGCGGUGGAGAGGGGCAUCCAUUGGAAACUAUUGGGGGGUUUCUGAUUUGAAAUUCGGUCUAAUAAAUAUACAUUUGACAAGUUUGAAUCAUUUUGCAAUAUUUGUAAAGUGCGAAAUUUUCGUUUCAGGCCCUAGACUUCUUCAUACCGUUAUUUGUGGCCCAUGUUUUAUCCGUAUUUGAAUUUUGAGACGUUAAAGAUUCUAUUUUGAGCACAUUUAUUUAUUUUGAUAAAUUAAUAAGAUUUCGUGUUAAUUGAUUUCCAAAAAUAGCAAUUACUACUAUGUAUCAUUAUAUGAGCAUUUAUCAAGCGAACUAUUUUGGUUGACUUUAAUAAUUAAGCUUCUUAACUAUUUAUCCUUGUCCCUCUAAAAAAAAAAAAUGUCCUUGUUGCACGAGGAAUAUUUUUUGAGCAAUUGGUUGCUGAUUUUUGUAGGAAAUGAUUAAAAAUUAUUGGAAAAUGAUUAUUUUGUGGCUCUAUAUAUUGUAGAACGUUCAGCAUUCUACUUUCAAGGGUUUUUUUAGUUUUCCUUUUUCUUUUUUAACUAGCGUCUAACCCGUCGAAAUUCGACGAGAAUUAUUUUAUGUCAUCAUUUAUAAUUAUUUUAUUACUAUAACAUAUGAAAUAGUUUAUAUAUAAAUUAUUUCUUUAAUUAAUUUGAUAUGAUCAAAUUAAAUUAGUAAUACAAUAUUUGAACUAAUAUUAAUCUUAAUCACUUUCGCUAAUUAAAUGUAGGUUGUGAUAAUAGAAAUACAUUUUUAUAUAAAUAUUCAUUUGAUGAAGUUUAUAAAAAGUUGAUGUGGGAUUGAAUAUUUUAAAAGAAAAAAAUAUGUAAAUUUGAAGUAUGAUAUGAUGUACGAUUGAUGUGUCGCAUUUACUGUUAAUCGUAUAUCGUAAUAUUACUUCUCCUCCCUCAAACAUUUUCUCUUUUUUUUCUAUUUUGGUCGUCCCCAAAAAUUUCCUAACCUAUUUUUUAAAACAAUUUCACUAAUUAUUAUUCUUACAAUUUCACUUUUUGUGGACUCUUCUCACUUAUCAAAUGCAUAAUACUUUUAAACUCGUGUCAUCCUUUUGUGGGACUCAUUCUUCACUUAUCAAAUGCAUAAUUAACUUUUAUUAAAACUCGUGUCAUCCUCUCUUAGGAAGAUGUUUGGGGGACGGAGGGAGUAUUAAGUUUGUUCAAAUUCUUUAAAUUUGACGGAUAAGAAAUAAUUUAAUUAAACAUAUGUGUAAUACCCCGAAUUUUCCUUAAUAAGGAUUUUAGAAUAAUUAUUGAGUUUAGAAUUAAGUCGAUUCGCACCCCAGAGAAAAAUUGUUUUAAUUCCAACAAGUUUUAAAGCAAAUUGAAUUUUAUACUUUACAAGUUUUGCUUUUUGGGCCGGAUACUCUUAUUUAUGGAUUUUUUUUCAAAGCCCAACUCUUAAUUUCAGAAGCCCAAUUACUAUUCCAGAUAUUUUCAUUUACCAUUAAUAAUUGGUUGAAGAGGGUGAAUCCACGUCCCCAUCUUUCUCCUAUUUAAAGAUCAUUCAUCAUCGUUUCUAAUCACCCUCACAGAUAGGGAUGUCAAUGCAGCCCGAAACCCGUGGGCCGACCCGAAUAACCCGAUAAAAUUAGAGGGUUAGGGUUGAAAAAUCGCAACCCGAAAAAACCUCCAGCCCGAUUAGCCCGCACCCGACUAACCCGGAACCCGAUAGGGCUAGCCCGAAACCCGAUGGGCUGGCCCGGUGGGCUGACGGAAUUGUGACUGAUGCAUCCAGUUACAACUUCUGCUAUGUUUAGAUCUAUGGUAUUUGCUUAAAUAUAUAUAUGUAGCCUCAUUAAAAAAAGUGAAAUUAAUUAGUUAGAAUAUGUGUGUGUGUGCGCAAUCUCAUUAAAAAAAGUGAAAUUAAUUACGGAUUUUUGUAGAAAUUGAUUAUUAGUAUCUCAUUAGUUAGAAAUUAAUUAUAGUAUCUCAUUUUAAAGUGAUACCAAAUUUUUUUUUAUGUCAAUGAGACGUGCAUGGCAAAUCCACUAAUUAUUCAAUAAUAAUCCAGAUUGAUUCUAGUGCAUUGAUACAUGUUAAAUUUUACUAUCUCAUUUUAAUAUAAUUUUGUUUAUGUAAUCUUGAAUAUCUUAUAUUUUUGCAUUUCAUGCUUUGCUAUAUAAUUUAUAUCUUUAAUAUCUAUGUAUAUUUUAUACAUUAUACAUUAGAUCAUUAGAAAUAAUAAAAUACAAAUGAUAAUUUUUUUUACGCCUUUAACCUGAUUAGCCCGAUGGGCUAGCCCGAAAACCGAAAGUUUAGGGUUAGGAUUGAAGAUUUACAACCCGAAAAAAUCUCCAACCCGAUUAGCCCGCACCCGAUUAACCCGGAACCCGAUAGGGCUAGCCCGAAAACCCGAUGGGCUGGCCCGAUUGACAUCCCUACUCACAGAGCUAUGGAACUUCUUCACAAAUUUCCAACAACGUUAUAACAUACACAAUUCUCUUUCCAUCUAAUCUCAGCUUACUUUCUUCACUCUCAAUUUGAAGAACAACUUUCGCACUCCCUUCAAAAUUUCUUGCAAAGUCGAAUACCAUCACAAACAUCAAUUUGCAGCAACCCACUCCCAACCAUAAUCUGGAGAAAUCAAUUUAUCUCACAAGAGGUAAACUAACAUCCACAUACACCCAGAUAACCAUUCCUCACAUCAGAGACAUAAUUUGAUUUGCAUAUCAUACACAUGCAUUUUCUGCAAAUUGCUAAUCAAAGCUUUUUAAAAGGAAUAAGCUAUCUUUUACAUGUAUAUGUUGGUGUGUGUACUGCUGUGUGCGUGAGUCUUAGAGGGGCUGUGUCGUCGUCCGAUUUGAGGGAGAACGGAGGAGGCAGAGGGGAUUGGCGACGGCGGCGGUGGCCUGAUGCUCCUGCUGCCCGUCGAUCCAGAGAGAGAGAGGGGGGUGGACGGCGGCUGGACGCGGGGCUGUUCGGCGGAGGGAGAGACGGCGGCCUCGGCCUUUGAGGUCGAUCGGUGGUAGCUGAUGGCUGCUGCCGUUCGUCUCUCAAGGAGAGGGGCGGGGCGCCGAUGAGUUGAAGAAUCAGAGGAGGAGGGAGGCGGCGAUGGCGGCGGUCCGGCUGACUGCUGCUGUCGGCUGGAGCAGAGGGGGGCCAAGUCCGGCGGUAACCUCGCCGGAAAUCGUAGGAGAAAGAGGGUUUAGGGAUUUAGAGAGAGUGAUUUGUGGAUUUGGGGGUUUGGCGAAUUGAGGGAGAAGGGAGAAAGAUUGAGAGAGAUGAGGGCGGCGGUGGUACGUCGGCGACGCGCCGGCGGAAUUGUAGGCGGCGGCAGCGUGAGAUGAGAGGAAGAGAGAGAGAGUGGCGAGUUCGAGAGAGAGAGAACGAUGAGAAGAGAGAGAGUGAGGAGAGACGCUUGUAUUUUUAAUUUUAGAUUUCUUUUAAGUUAAUUUUGGGCCUCUUCGGUUUUAUUUAUUUGGACUCUCUUUUAUUAACUGCAAUUGGCCGAUUUUUAUUUCAGAAGUGGACUGCUGUUUAAUAAAAGUUAUGGGCUCAGUUUUUAUAUUAUGCUUGGGCCUUAUUAAGUCAUUGUAGGNNNNNNNNNNNNNNNNNNNNNNNNNNNNNACGCAUUCAUACAUUCACAAAUUUUCAUUUGAAUAGAUUUUAUAACACAUGUAAUAUUUGUAUACAUAUUCUGUACAUACACACAUAUGUGUAUAAGCUAGUAUUGAAUGAUUCUACAUGUUGAGUAAAUGAAUAAAAAGGGGAGGGGAGGAAACUUGUCUUGAAGCUUCGAUUAUUACUCCUUGUUUCUGAGCUCGAAAUUACCCCUGGCUAUGUGUGUGAGUAGAGUCGAAAGGGAGGUGGUGGGGGUGGUUCGCCACUACUGGCGAGAGGGAGACAGAGGAGGUGGCGAUGGCGUCGGCCGCGGCUGCUGUUGUCGCCGACAGUCGCUGAUGGCGACGACUUCGCCGGAGGAAGGAGGCGGUGGAUGGGUAGGCGGGAGCUUAGGGCUUUUGACGAUUUUGGGGAUUUAGGAUUUGUGGAUUUGGGGGUUUGGGGGUUUGGCGAAUUGAGGGAGAAGGGAGAAAGAUAGAGAGGGAUGAGUACGGCGGUGGUACGCCGGCGACGCGCCGGCGGAAUUGUAGGCGGCGGCGGCGACGUCAGAUGAGAGGAAGGGAGAGAGAGUGGCUAGAAGGAGAGAGGGAGCCGAUGAGAGUGGUGAGAGAGAGAGAGGGAGGUAUUAGAAGGAAAAAGGGGAAAGGUGCUUGGGCCUUUUAAUUGUUGGGCUAAGGUUCUGGGCCUCAAUUAAAUUGAUAUGGCCUGGUCUUGUUAAGCUAGGUUUUCUUUUUGGGCUCAUGGUUUGGGCUGUCAGUUAAACAAAGUGGGCUGCAUUUUUUUACUUGCGCUAUUAUUUAUAUUUUGGGCUACAUUUUUGCAUGAAGAGGGCCUUUUAUUAAAUUACUAAGCGGGCCAUGAAUUUAUUUGUGAAUUGAGUUUUUAAGUAAAAGCCGAGCAAGGGUAUUAUUAAAACCCUUAGCCAAGAAAAAUGAUUUUCAAGUUUUAUGUUGAACUUUUUUGAAAACCCGGGUGUUGCGAAUCUAGUUAGAAAUGAUGAUAAGUCAUGAAGGUUAAACUUGAUUUUAGGACUAUGAGUUUAAGUUGAGAACUUAUCUUGUAGGUCCUACAGAAGAGGAUAUUUAGGCUCUUGGUCAGCUGAG
This 24747-nucleotide long non-coding RNA is filed under the name Salvia miltiorrhiza (redroot sage). RNAcentral's name for it is "long non-coding RNA (SMIL_LNC004758)". The record is from RNAcentral. Lineage: Eukaryota; Viridiplantae; Streptophyta; Magnoliopsida; Lamiales; Lamiaceae.